GAGUGGUCCUGCGUUAAUCAGAGGGAACAACGUUGGCAUGACCAAAAUGGAACCCAUUUCUUCACUGAUCGGGCAUGGAUGGUACUCUUUUUUUUUUUUUUUUUUUUUCAUCAAAUCUUGCCACGGCCAUAGUUGGCACUUCAGAGGAACCCCUGGGUUGACGCUGUGAGUCAGCGCUGAGCUGACCAGAUCUGAAGCCACCUGGGAGGCUCUGGAUCCUAAUCAUUGGCCUGCUUGGCCUGCUUCUCGGAGCCUGAAAAUGAGAGCACCCCGAGCCCGUCUCACCCCUUGCUCAAGCCACGUCUCCUGGUAUUUUCUUCUCUGUUCCCUUUCAUUUCAAGUUGCUAGCUGUAAUC
This 356-nucleotide long non-coding RNA is filed under the name Mus pahari (shrew mouse). Its description in RNAcentral is "predicted gene 29323 (MGP_PahariEiJ_G0005245.1)". Lineage: Eukaryota; Metazoa; Chordata; Mammalia; Rodentia; Muridae. The record is from RNAcentral.